AAAGUCGUAACAAGGUUUCCGUAGGUGAACCUGCGGAAGGAUCAUUACUGCUUGCUCAUGGCCGCCUGGGGUUCUGCCCCGGUGCGGUACGGCAACAUCACCCUUGUCUAUAUAUACCCUUUGUUAUUUCCCUCGGCGGGGUCAUACCCGUCGAUGGGAACAUCAUAAACCCUUGUAUCUAAGCAUCAAACCUCUGAAACGAAUGAAAUAAUCACAACUUUCAACAAUGGAUCUCUUGGUUCUG
RNAcentral lists this unclassified non-coding RNA (244 nucleotides) under Ascomycota sp. RNAcentral describes it as "partial contains small subunit ribosomal RNA, internal transcribed spacer 1, and 5.8S ribosomal RNA". The stretch from base 1 to 47 matches the Rfam family "Eukaryotic small subunit ribosomal RNA", at positions 1785 to 1831 of the family's 1831-position model. The record is from RNAcentral. Lineage: Eukaryota; Fungi; Ascomycota.